GAGAUAACUCCUACGGGAGGCAGCAGUGGGGAAUAUUGGACAAUGGGCGCAAGCCUGAUCCAGCCAUGCCGCGUGUGUGAAGAAGGCCUUCGGGUUGUAAAGCACUUUCAGCGAGGAGGAAGGGGUUGUAGUUAAUAGCUGCAACUUUUGACGUUACUCGCAGAAGAAGCACCGGCUAACUCUGUGCCAGCAGCCGCGGUAAUACAGAGGGUGCAAGCGUUAAUCGGAAUUACUGGGCGUAAAGCGCACGCAGGCGGUUGGUUAAGUCAGAUGUGAAAGCCCCGGGCUCAACCUGGGAAUUGCAUUUGAAACUGGCCAACUAGAGUAUGUGAGAGGGGGGUAGAAUUCCAAGUGUAGCGGUGAAAUGCGUAGAGAUUUGGAGGAAUACCAGUGGCGAAGGCGGCCCCCUGGCACAAUACUGACGCUCAGGUGCGAAAGCGUGGGGAGCAAACAGGAUUAGAUACCCUAGUAGUCCUCCACU
Molecule: ribosomal RNA, 481 nt
Filed under: uncultured bacterium
Lineage: Bacteria
Description: bacterial SSU rRNA
Rfam family: Bacterial small subunit ribosomal RNA
Source: RNAcentral